GGCACAGUGGCUUAGUGUUUAGUACGUUUGGCUUACACCUCCAGGGUUGGGGGGUCAAAUUCCACCUCUGCCC
Molecule: non-coding RNA, 73 nt
Organism: Ameiurus melas (black bullhead)
Lineage: Eukaryota; Metazoa; Chordata; Actinopteri; Siluriformes; Ictaluridae
Source: the annotation of a GenBank genome assembly